This 269-nucleotide ribosomal RNA is filed under the name uncultured bacterium. RNAcentral describes it as "partial 16S ribosomal RNA". It matches the Rfam family "Bacterial small subunit ribosomal RNA", at positions 57 to 305 of the family's 1533-position model. The record is from RNAcentral.
GCAAGUCGAACGGCAGCGCGAGAGAGCUUGCUCUCUUGGCGGCGAGUGGCGAACGGGUGCGUAACGCGUGGGGAUCUACCCUAAAGAGGGGGAUAACCCGGGGAAACUCGGGCUAAUACCGCAUAUAUCUGACAUCCUUCGGGGUGUUUGGGAAAGAGUGGCCUCUACAUGUAAGCUACUGCUUUAGGAUGAACCUGCGUCCGAUUAGCUUGUUGGUGGGGUAAAGGCCUACCAAGGCGACGAUCGGUAGCUGGUCUGAGAGGACGAUC